This 724-nucleotide long non-coding RNA is filed under the name Lepisosteus oculatus (spotted gar). RNAcentral describes it as "lncRNA (ENSLOCG00000023143.1)". Lineage: Eukaryota; Metazoa; Chordata; Actinopteri; Semionotiformes; Lepisosteidae. The record is from RNAcentral.
UGUGCCUAAAGGGGCUUUGAGCAAGGCCAAGGACUAGGUUCUGUGUCUUUCCAGAAAUUUCCAAGAAUGCAUCAUACACAGCAUGGUCUCGAUCUCUUCUCGUGGUAUCAGUAUGAUGCCCAAGAGUCGUCACUGCAGAGCAAUGUGCAGAUGGUCAUUUCAUUGUCAUGGUUAUCUAUCUUGAGGGGUUUCCAGGAAUAUUUCCGCUCUUUGUCCUUAUCCUUUUUAGGGUGACGAUGAGACUGAAAUCCUGACAAGCCUGUGAAGAUCUUUACACGAGACUUUAGAGAUGCGGUUCUGCACAGCUUUUCACUGCUACCGCACCAGCAAGGAGGGGUUGUAUAAGCUGUUAUACAUUAGUUUUUCCUUCCUGUCUUUUGAGUCAUCUCUGGAAGGGCUGUGCUCAUUCCUUGCACGGGUUGGUAUGUUGCACCAUGAGGGCAGCCUUCGGCCCAACCUUAGCUUACCUGAUCUCUGCCCUCUCCCAGCUGCCACUUUCCCAGCCUGCCUGCCAGGGCUGAGCAGGCUUGCUGAAGUGUGGGCAGUCGUCCAAGACAAGCAGGCUGAUGUCGUUGAUCAGGCCAGACGCUCCUGUGGUCCUCCUGCCCCCUGCUCCUGCUGCGCGCCGACUCGUUCCAUCGCUCUGUCCUUCGGCCGCGCCGAGGUCGAGCCGCGUGGUGCCGGCUCCGCGCUCUUCUGCGGGGCUGUGGCCAGGCUGCCGUGA